RNAcentral lists this long non-coding RNA (1829 nucleotides) under Homo sapiens (human). RNAcentral's name for it is "HSALNT0344254". The record is from RNAcentral. Lineage: Eukaryota; Metazoa; Chordata; Mammalia; Primates; Hominidae.
UGUGCCCCGGCCUCUUCUGCCAUUCUUAACUAUUAUUAUACCCAUCUACUACAUAUUUUCAGUUCUAAAAUUUUAUUUUUUACAGUUAUAAUUUCUCUACUGCAACUUUCCCUCUGUUUACUCAUUAUGACCAUGUUUUCCUUUAAUUCCUUGGCUAUAUUUAUAACUGCCUUAAAAUCCUUGUCUGAAAAUUUCAACAUCAAAGGCAUUUAAUCUCAGGGCUUGUUUCUAUUGACUGUUGUUUUCCUUGAUCAUGGGUCUUAUAUUCAUGUUUCUUUGAAACUCUAGCAAUUUUUUAAAAAAAUUUUAUUCUGGAUACUAUAGACAAAAUGUUUUCAUGAUUCUAGAUAAUCUCUUUUUAAAUUAGAAGUGCUCUGAGUUUUGUUUUGGCAGCAGGGAAAUUACCAACUGAUCUUUUUGGUCAUACCAGGCUUCAUGUCUUUCCUUUCAUGGACAUGAACUUAUUCUAGUUAUGGGCUAAGGUGUGGCCCUUAUUUGAGGGUAUAGCUUUUACUGCUAUGGUGUGGACUUUCUGAGGUUUCAACUGAAUGCCUGACUGAGAUGCUCAAUGAGUUCUCUCCAUUCUGGCUGAGCUGGAGCUCCAGCAUCUCCUGGUGGUGCAUAGCAAUAAUGCCUUCAUUCAUUCCCAGCCCUGCAGAAGGCAACCACUGCUAGGCCCUGUGUACUGCCUGCCAUGGUGUGGGCAGCCUUCAGCCAAAAACCAGCAAUGAGUCUUCAUCAAGACUUCUGGAAACCCUUGUCCUCAGCUUCUGCUCUUGCACUUGGCUCCCCAAAUCUCAGCUGCUUCUGAGACCACAGCUCCAAUCUCCUCCUCAGGUCAGUGAGGCCACAGUUCUGCUGGAGAUGUGCAGGAAACGGUCCCAGGCAGAGCACUGGGGCAAACUGAGCCUCACCUCUCAUGUUUCCUUUCUCUCAAGAAUUACAGUUCUGUGCUGCCUGUUGUUUAAUGCCUUAAAACAUUUGUCAUGCACAUUUUACCAGCUUUAGAGUUGUUUAUGCCAGGAGGAAAUGCCCAAUGCCAGUCACUCUAUCAGAGCUAGAGGAAAAGUUCACUGUCAGUUUUCAUUUGCUAGCCUAUGGGAAUAUAUAUAUACUCACACACAUACACACACACACACACACUCAUUGCCUCUUAAAGUCAGUGUUACCAGAGAUUACAUUCUACAAAGUCUGUCAGUUGAUCUGAUCUCUGCUUCACACUAUUAGUUAUUUAUGGAGUACGGUGGAUGUAUGCAAUAUUCCAUAAGCCUGAGUGAAGUCAACAGACCUGCUCCAGGGUGUGUACAUGUCAACGUCAGACAAAUCAGAAAUGGUAGGUAGCAAGACUGGAUAACAUUUCAAAGGUGCCAGUCGGGGGUAUGCACAAAUGACAGGUCCCUUUGUUGUUUCAGAGAGCUCCUCAAAGAGGGAACUGACAGCACUUUCUAAGGAAUGAAACACAAAUAUUGAAAAUCCAAGAGUGACUUCUGAACCUAUGAACAGCUCCUUCCUGUGUUCUAUUACACUGCCUUCCCCUUUUCAAGUUAAAAGAGACUGAGCAAUCACAUGCAAAGAAUUUGAUUAACAUCUACUAGAAACUCAGCCCUCUGUGAAUGCCAGAGGAAGGAGCUGGAAGGAGGAGAAGGAAAAGAGAAAAAAAGAAGAAGGAGAUGAGGGUUUCUAGAUGAAAUGGUGUGACUCUUUGAUAACUUGUUUGUGUCAUCACCUGUAAACAAGAUACUAAGGGAUUAUUCAAGAUGUCAGAACCAGCCACAUCCAAGGCAGGUUUAAGGACUAUAGGACAAAACACUGCCCCUAAACUCUGCCCC